GAUUUUAACGGAUUAAUGACACAUUUCCCCUUAUACUCUUACUUUUUUAUGGAUCUUCCCUUGUAUAGAAUAUUUUAUGCAUUCUACCAUUUUACUAUUGUUUUGUUAAAAUUUAUAUCCUUUCAUCUAAUUUUAUUACGUGUCAAGAAUAUAUGCAUUAAUCUAUAAGAUUAUCACUUGAAAAUUAAGCUGAAGUCGGGGAUUUCAAACCGCUAUUUUUAUAGAAGACUGUAUAAGCCACAAGCUGUUCGAUAAAAUGACAAGGAGAAAAAAGACUGAAGUUAAAUGGAGGAAAUCAUUUUUGAAUUUAUCCAUCCCUUGUAACAAGAGAAAUACUAGUGAGAAAGAGAGAAAAAUUUGCAGUUGGCGGCACUCUAACACUUAGUGCUAAGUUUCUGAGUACAGGUGCCGAUUAAAAUAGAGACAACCAGGUGUGUGCGUGCAAGCAGUAGCAAACUACGGUUGCAACUGAAAAAGGCUUGAAGGAAAUUUCUGUAACACACAAGGCCAUCCUUGAGGACUGGACUUCUCACACAUUGUGGAGUACCCAGGAUAAGCCAGAGUCAUCAAUCAGAUCCUCAACAGUGUGGAAGGCAGUUUGGUGCCUGAAUGCCCCGGAAAAGAUAAGGAAAAUGCAAUCUCAUGCCAAUCCAACUGCUUUAAGCUCUAUUAGUCCCCUCUUCCCUUUGUAGGCAUGCCAAAAAGAGGAAGAAGCUGUGGAGCCCACAAUUUUCUUCUACGAGUAUGUGGACACCACAUGGUUAGCUAGUUCUAGGGUUAUCAAGAGCAGGGUUUGGAAAUUUUGAUUGAAGGUGGAGCACUAUUAAUAAGCUGGGGAAUGAAUGCAGAAAUGACUACACUGCGAUUAGUGCUGCGUGUUUGUGUUGACAAAUUUGGAAGAGUAGGAAUGAAAGUCAAAUGGAGUCGUCCUAUCAAUCCACGUAAAGUAGCAAGAAAGUCAUCCCUGCUCACAGCAUAGUUCUCUCUCUUGCGGACCAUCCUUCCUUCUCCUGCUCCAACAUCUUCUCAAAGAGGAGUCCAGAUGGAUAGAAGGGAAAAACCACUUGAUGGGAACCUAAAGAUAAAUAUGUAGGGGUUCCACUAUGGUAAAGCGGUGGAUGGUAGGGGUUCCAAGUGCAAGAGUAGGUAUGUCGCUCGAGGAUAAGCCAUGAAGAUUAGGGAAGCUCUCAUCUUCGCGACUUCGUUGGGAACUCAUGGGAUUGUAAUCGAAUCUGAUGCUGUUGCUACUGUGUUAGCCAUCAAGGAUUCAAGAUUGACCCCUGCUUGGAAAGGUGGUCUGGUCACAGCAGACACCAAGCAUCAUUUACCAUUUAUGCCUAAUGUGUCCGUAAAGUUUAUCAGUAUAGAGAGUAUAAUAUGGUCGUUUGAAUUCUUUGCCUCCAGAAUUCAUUAGGGUUUUACAAGUCUCCAUUGCAUGUAAAUCGGACGCCAGAUUACAUUGGCUAACACCCAAAUGUAGUCUCUCUUUUUUCUUUUC
Molecule: long non-coding RNA, 1498 nt
Organism: Populus trichocarpa (black cottonwood)
Lineage: Eukaryota; Viridiplantae; Streptophyta; Magnoliopsida; Malpighiales; Salicaceae
Exons: 2
Source: RefSeq, a predicted model, not a curated record